Molecule: long non-coding RNA, 398 nt
Organism: Oryzias melastigma (Indian medaka)
Lineage: Eukaryota; Metazoa; Chordata; Actinopteri; Beloniformes; Adrianichthyidae
Exons: 3
Source: RefSeq, a predicted model, not a curated record
GGUUCACUGAACAGACUCAGAUCCACUGGAGCCUGGCACACCUGCAGUCCAUGGCAUUGAGCUGGAAGAACACAAUACAGGGGAGGACAAAACUUCAACUGCUUCCAGUAUAAUUUUAUUCUAAAAUCUAUUCCACCAACAACCCUAUAGAGAGUUUACCACCAACUGUAUGGGACAUUUAGCAUGAUCCCUACACGGAUUGUAUCAUAACAUUCAUUAUUGAGUAGUGGACCGCUCACCUUCAGUGGCAGAAAGGUCUAAGAAUGAAAGCGAGGUGACCUCCGCCUCGUUCACACCACGCCUGGGCUUUUUGAGACGAAAGCUGUAAACCAACAAACUCAUAGCAGGCAUCGUCAAAGCCUCGCUGGUGUUCUGGACAGAAUACGCCUUCUGCAUCU